This 535-nucleotide ribosomal RNA is filed under the name uncultured bacterium. RNAcentral describes it as "bacterial SSU rRNA". It matches the Rfam family "Bacterial small subunit ribosomal RNA", at positions 381 to 896 of the family's 1533-position model. The record is from RNAcentral.
GCCUGACGGAGUCGACGCCGCGUGGGGGACGUAAGGCCUUCGGGGUCGUAAAACCCCUGUCAGAGGGAAACGAAGGGUACCGGCGUGAACAGCGCCGGUACUUGACGGUACCCUCAGAGGAAAGUCCACGGCCAACUCCGUAGCCAGCAGCCGCGGUAAUACGGAGGUGGCAAGCGUUGCUCGGAAUCACUGGGCGUAAAGGGCGCGUAGGCGGGGAGGUAAGUCGGGUGUGAAAUCCCUCGGCCCAACCGAGGAACUGCGCCCGAGACUGCUUCUCUUGAGUCCCGGAGAGGAAGGUGGAAUUCCCGGUGUAGCGGUGAAAUGUGUAGAGAUCGGGAGGAACACCGGUGGCGAAGGCGGCCUUCUGGACGGUGACUGACGCUGAGGCGCGAAAGCGUGGGGAGCAAACGGGAUUAGAUACCCCGGUAGUCCACGCUGUAAACGAUGGGUGCUAGGUGUGGGGGGUAUCGACCCCUCCCGUGCCGAAGCUAACGCAUUAAGCAACCCCGCCUGGGGAGUACGGCCGUCAAGGUUG